Molecule: ribosomal RNA, 2865 nt
Filed under: Prochlorococcus sp. AG-670-O17
Lineage: Bacteria; Bacillati; Cyanobacteriota; Cyanophyceae; Synechococcales; Prochlorococcaceae
Description: bacterial LSU rRNA
Rfam family: Bacterial large subunit ribosomal RNA
Source: RNAcentral
CAAAGGGCUCACGGAGGAUACCUAGGCACACAGAGGCGAUGAAGGACGUGGUUACCUGCGAUAAGUCUCGGGGAGUUGGAAGCACACUUUGAUCCGGGAAUUUCCGAAUGGGGCAACCCCUUGAACGACCAACUGAAUAUAUAGGUUGGUGCGAGCUAACCCAGCGAACUGAAACAUCUUAGUAGCUGGAGGAAGAGAAAGUAAAUAACGACUCCCUCAGUAGCGGCGAGCGAACGGGGAAUAGCCCAAACCGAUAGUCUUGACUAUCGGGGUUGUGGGACAGCAAUAUGGAUCAACAACUCUAGAAGAAACGUUUGAAUGGCGUGCCAUAGAGGGUGAAAGCCCCGUAAUUGAAAGAUGAGUUGACCUAGCUGUAUCCCGAGUAGCACGGAGCACGUGGAAUUCCGUGUGAAUCUGCGAGGACCACCUCGUAAGGCUAAGUACUACUGUGUGACCGAUAGUGAAACAGUACCGCGAGGGAAAGGUGAAAAGAACCCCGGGAGGGGAGUGAAAUAGAACAUGAAACCGUGAGCUUACAAGCAAUGGGAGCCCGACUAAUCGGGUGACCGUGUGCCUGUUGAAGAAUGAGCCGGCGACUUAUAGGCACUGGCGGGUUAAACCGGAAAUGGUGGAGCCACAGCGAAAGCGAGUCUUAAUAGGGCGUUUGUCAGUGUUUAUAGACCCGAACCCUGGUGAUCUAACCAUGGCCAGGAUGAAGCUUGGGUGAUACCAAGUGGAGGUCCGAACCGACUGAAGUUGAAAAUUCAGCGGAUGAGCUGUGGUUAGGGGUGAAAUGCCAAUCGAACCAGGAGCUAGCUGGUUCUCCCCGAAAUACGUUGAGGCGUAGCGUCUAGUGCUCCAGCAGGGGGGUAAAGCAACCAUUUCGGUGCGGGCUGCGAAAGCGGUACCAAAUCGAUAUGAACUCUGAAUACCCUGUGUGUAACUAGGCAGUCAGACUGUGGGGGAUAAGCUCCAUAGUCAAGAGGGAAACAGCCCAGACCGCCAGCUAAGGUCCCAAAAUUAACGCUAAGUGAUAAAGGAGGUGGGAUUGCCCAGACAACCAGGAGGUUUGCCUAGAAGCAGCCAUCCUCAAAGGAGUGCGUAAUAGCUCACUGGUCGAGCGAUCCUGCGCCGAAAAUGAAUGGGGCUAAGCGUUAUACCGAAGCUGCGGAUAAAUUUAUUUAUGGUAGGGGAGCGUUCUAUGUUGGGUGAAGCGUUAGCGUAAGCGGACGUGGACGGCAUAGAAGUGAGAAUGUCGGCUUGAGUAGCGAAAACAUGGGUGAGAAUCCCAUGCCCCGAAACCCUAAGGGUUCCUCCGGCAGGCUCGUCCGCGGAGGGUUAGUCUGGACCUAAGGCGAGGCCGAAAGGCGUAGUCGAUGGAUAACAGGUCAAUAUUCCUGUACCAGUUAUGUUUUGGGAAGGGGGACGGAGAAGGCUAGCCAGGCCAGAUGUUGGUUACUGGUUCAAGCGUUCAAGGCUUUGAGAGAUGGAGAAAACAUCUUGAGCUGAGGCGUGAGUACGAGCUGCUACGGCAGCGAAGUUGGUGAUGUCAUGCUUCCAAGAAAAGCCCUAUACCCGUUAAGACAUAAAUGCCAGUACCCGAAACCGACACAGGUGGGGUGGUAGAGAAUACCGAGGGGCGCGAGAUAACUCUCUCUAAGGAACUCGGCAAAAUGGCCCCGUAACUUCGGGAGAAGGGGUGCCAGCGAGAGCUGGUCGCAGUGAAGAGGCGCAAGCGACUGUUUACCAAAAACACAGGUCUCCGCUAAGUCGCAAGACGAUGUAUGGGGGCUGACACCUGCCCAGUGCCGGAAGGUUAAGGAAGCUGGUUAGCUUUUAGCAAAGCUAGCGACUGAAGCCCCGGUGAACGGCGGCCGUAACUAUAACGGUCCUAAGGUAGCGAAAUUCCUUGUCGGGUAAGUUCCGACCCGCACGAAAGGUGUAACGAUUUGCGCGCUGUCUCGGAGAGAGGCUCGGCGAAAUAGAAUUGUCUGUGAAGAUGCGGACUACAUACACCCGGACAGAAAGACCCUAUGAAGCUUUACUGUAGUUUGAUAUUGUGCUCGGGCUCUAAUUGCGCAGAAUAGGUGGGAGACAUUGAAAUAGUGCUUGUGGGCAUUAUUGAGUCAUCGGUGAGAUACCACUCUAUUAGAGCUAGGGUUCUAACGCUUACCCGUUAUCCGGGAAGCGGACAGUAUCUGAUGGGCAGUUUGACUGGGGCGGUCGCCUCCUAAAAGGUAACGGAGGCGCACAAAGGUUCCCUCAGGCUGGUUGGAAAUCAGUCGUUGAGUGCAAAAGCAGAAGGGAGCUUGACUGUGAGACCUACAAGUCGAACAGGGACGAAAGUCGGUUUUAGUGAUCCGACGGUUCUGCGUGGAAGGGCCGUCGCUCAACGGAUAAAAGUUACUCUAGGGAUAACAGGCUGAUCUCCCCCAAGAGUUCACAUCGACGGGGAGGUUUGGCACCUCGAUGUCGGCUCAUCGCAACCUGGGGCUGAAGUCGGUCCCAAGGGUUGGGCUGUUCGCCCAUUAAAGCGGUACGCGAGCUGGGUUCAGAACGUCGUGAGACAGUUCGGUCCAUAUCCGGUGUAUGCGCAGGAAUAUUGAGAGGAUUUCUCCCUAGUACGAGAGGACCGGGAGGAACGCACCUCUGGUGUGCCAGUUAUCGUGCCAACGGUAAACGCUGGGUAGCCAUGUGCGGAGUGGAUAACCGCUGAAAGCAUCUAAGUGGGAAGCCCACCUCAAGAUGAGUAUUGCCAUGGCUUAAGCCAGUAAGGUCACGGGAAGAACACCCGUUGAUAGGCUCUACGUGGAAGCUUGGUAACAAGUGCAGCGGAGGAGUACUAAUAGACCGAGGGCUUGACCA